This 195-nucleotide small nucleolar RNA is filed under the name Scheffersomyces stipitis CBS 6054. Lineage: Eukaryota; Fungi; Ascomycota; Pichiomycetes; Serinales; Debaryomycetaceae. The record is from RNAcentral.
GUGCCUCAUGCCUCGCUCUGUCCCAUCUGUAUGUGAAGGGAUAUUGAGCUGGAUACAUCCUCAAGCUGUAUUAGAUUAUAACUAAGUUUGUAAGGGGCCAUAGAGAUUGGUGUAAACCAUGAGGAUUUUUUUUGAGUGCGAUUACACCAAGGUGAAAGCUGGAUGGUGGAAUUGUAAUUACAAAUCCUGACAAUG